RNAcentral lists this unclassified non-coding RNA (202 nucleotides) under Hevea brasiliensis (rubber tree). Lineage: Eukaryota; Viridiplantae; Streptophyta; Magnoliopsida; Malpighiales; Euphorbiaceae. The record is from RNAcentral.
AAAUUUUUUCAAAGAAAUAAAACUAGGUGUCGAGCAAUCUUUCCCCAGAAACCAGGAAUUAUCCACAUUUCGCCGCCUCAGCAUUGAUUCUUCUGUUCAAGAAUUCAUUUCUACCAACCCGUAUGGUGAUGGCAUUCGUUCAUUCCUCUGUUUCUCCUCUCGGAACAUUGCGAUGUCCCCAUAUGAGUUAGAGACAAUCCCA